This 244-nucleotide ribosomal RNA is filed under the name Yavnella sp. zhg-bt01. RNAcentral's name for it is "partial large subunit ribosomal RNA". Lineage: Eukaryota; Metazoa; Arthropoda; Insecta; Hymenoptera; Formicidae. The record is from RNAcentral.
UCGAACGGGGAGAUUCAUCGUCAGCGACGUUGGCUUCGUGUCGGUGGGCGAUGUCCUGUGAAUCGCUCGGUUCGCGGGCACGCUACCGUGCGCGCAUGUCCGGCAUUGCCGUCGUGCACUUCUCCCCUAGUAGGACGUCGCGACCCGCUGGGUGUCGGUCUACGGGCCGGGUGUGGUGUCUGUCGUGUCGUCGGUAAAAUGGCACGCGGCAAACCCCCGGUCACCUGGCCGGCUGCCCGGCGGU